This 310-nucleotide unclassified non-coding RNA is filed under the name plant metagenome. RNAcentral's name for it is "partial contains 5.8S ribosomal RNA, internal transcribed spacer 2, and large subunit ribosomal RNA". The stretch from base 1 to 105 matches the Rfam family "5.8S ribosomal RNA", at positions 50 to 154 of the family's 154-position model. The record is from RNAcentral.
GAAAUGCGAUAAGUAAUGCGAAUUGCAGAAUUCCGUGAAUCAUCGAAUCUUUGAACGCACAUUGCGCCCUCUGGCAUUCCGGGGGGCAUGCCUGUCCGAGCGUCAUUUGUACCCUCAAGCUCUGCUUGGUGUUGGGUGUUUGUCCCCGUCUCCGCGCGUGGACUCGCCCCAAAGUGAUUGGCAGCCGGCGUACUGGUCCCGGAGCGCAGCACAUGUCGCGCAAACGAGUGCCUUGGUACGGCGGCGUCCAUAAGCCCCUCUCUCACGCUCUUGACCUCGGAUCAGGUAGGGAUACCCGCUGAACUUAAGC